This 253-nucleotide ribosomal RNA is filed under the name uncultured bacterium. RNAcentral's name for it is "partial 16S ribosomal RNA". It matches the Rfam family "Bacterial small subunit ribosomal RNA", at positions 524 to 776 of the family's 1533-position model. The record is from RNAcentral.
UACGAAGGGGGCGAGCGUUGUUCGGAUUUACUGGGCGUAAAGGGCGCGUAGGCGGUGCAGGAAGUCGAGUGUGAAAGCCCCGGGCUCAACCUGGGAAUGGCGUUCGAUACUCUUGCGCUGGAGUUCGGGAGAGGAGCGUGGAAUUCCCAGUGUAGAGGUGAAAUUCGUAGAUAUUGGGAAGAACACCGGUGGCGAAGGCGGCGCUCUGGACCGAGACUGACGCUGAGGCGCGAAAGCGUGGGGAGCAAACAGG